Molecule: ribosomal RNA, 305 nt
Filed under: uncultured bacterium
Lineage: Bacteria
Description: bacterial SSU rRNA
Rfam family: Bacterial small subunit ribosomal RNA
Source: RNAcentral
GCCUACGGGGGGCAGCAGUGAGGAAUAUUGGUCAAUGGUCGGGAGACUGAACCAGCCAAGCCGCGUGAGGGAGGAAGGUACAGAGUAUCGUAAACCUCUUUUGUCAGGGAACAAAGGCGGGGACGUGUCCCCGGAUGAGUGUACCUGAAGAAAAAGCAUCGGCUAACUCCGUGCCAGCAGCCGCGGUAAUACGGAGGACGCGAGCGUUAUCCGGAUUUAUUGGGUUUAAAGGGUGCGCAGGCGGUCUGGUAAGUCAGCGGUCAAAGCCCGGGGCUCAACCCCGGCCCGCCGUGUAAACUGGCAGG